UACAGAGGUCUCAAGCGUUGUUCGGAUUCAUUGGGCGUAAAGGGCGCGUAGGCGGUCUUCUAAGUCUUGUGUGAAAUCCCUCGGCUCAACUGAGGAACUGCACGGGAUACUGGAAGACUUGAGUUCGGGAGAGGGAAGCGGAAUUCCGGGUGUAGCGGUGAAAUGCGUAGAUAUCCGGAGGAACACCGGUGGCGAAGGCGGCUUCCUGGACCGAUUACUGACGCUGAGGCGCGAAAGCUAGGGUAGCGAACGGG
This 254-nucleotide ribosomal RNA is filed under the name uncultured bacterium. Its description in RNAcentral is "partial 16S ribosomal RNA". It matches the Rfam family "Bacterial small subunit ribosomal RNA", at positions 524 to 776 of the family's 1533-position model. The record is from RNAcentral.